GAUGAACGCUGGCGGCGUGCCUAAUACAUGCAAGUAGAACGCUGAAGGAGGAGCUUGCUCUUCUGGAUGAGUUGCGAACGGGUGAGUAACGCGUAGGUAACCUGCCUGGUAGCGGGGGAUAACUAUUGGAAACGAUAGCUAAUACCGCAUGACAACAGUUAUUGCAUGAUAACUGUUUAAAAGGGGCAACUGCUCCACUACCAGAUGGACCUGCGUUGUAUUAGAUAGUUGGUGAGGUAACGGCUCACCAAGGCGACGAUACAUAGCCGACCUGGGAGGGGGAUCGGCCACACUGGGACUGAGACACGGCCCAGACUCCUCCGGGAGGCAGCCGUAGGGAGUCUUCCGCAAUGGACCGACGUCUGACCGAGAAACGCCGCGUGAGUGAAGAAGGGUUUCGGAUCGUAAAGCUCUGUUGUAAGAGAAGAACGAGUGUGAGAGUGGAAAGUUCACACUGUGACGGUAUCUUACCAGAAAGGGACGGCUAACUACGUG
RNAcentral lists this ribosomal RNA (495 nucleotides) under uncultured bacterium. RNAcentral describes it as "partial 16S ribosomal RNA". It matches the Rfam family "Bacterial small subunit ribosomal RNA", at positions 28 to 507 of the family's 1533-position model. The record is from RNAcentral.